RNAcentral lists this ribosomal RNA (632 nucleotides) under fungal endophyte. Its description in RNAcentral is "eukaryotic LSU rRNA". The stretch from base 158 to 311 matches the Rfam family "5.8S ribosomal RNA". The record is from RNAcentral. Lineage: Eukaryota; Fungi.
UUAAAGAGUGUAAAAACUCCCAACCCAUGUGAACUUACCUUUACCCGGAUGCUUGUAACAGAGCGGAUGGGCGUUGCUUCGGCCCUCUGGCAACAGGGGUCGGAGGUACCAAACUUUUGAUUUCAUAGUAUCUCUGAGGCCUAUUGGCAACUAUAACAACUUUCAACAACGGAUCUCUUGGCUCCAGCAUCGAUGAAGAACGCAGCGAAAUGCGAUAAGUAUUGUGAAUUGCAGAAUCCAGUGAAUCAUCGAAUCUUUGAACGCACAUUGCGCCCGCCGGAAUUCCGGCGGGCAUGCCUGUUCGAGCGUCAUUUCAACCCUCAAAUCCCCAGGAUUUGGUGUUGGGACGUCCGCGUUUGGCGGGGGUCCUCAAAUCUAUAGGCGGUACCGCACGGCACUGAACGCAGUAAUCUUUAUUCGUUUAGUAAGUCUUGCGGCUGCUUGCCUCUAAACACUUCUUACAAAAGGUUGACCUCGGAUCAGGUAGGAAUACCCGCUGAACUUAAGCAUAUCAAUAAGCGGAGGAAAAGAAACCAACAGGGAUUGCCUCAGUAACGGCGAGUGAAGCGGCAACAGCUCAAAUUUGAAAUCUGGCCUUCGGGUCCGAGUUGUAAUUUGCAGAGGAUGCUUUC